ACAACAGGGAUUGCCCUAGUAACGGCGAGUGAAGCGGCAACAGCUCAAAUUUGAAAUCUGGCUCUCGGGCCCGAGUUGUAAUUUGUAGAGGAUGCUUUGGGCGCGGCGCCUUCUGAGUUCCCUGGAACGGGACGCCAUAGAGGGUGAGAGCCCCGUAUAGUUGGACGCCUAGCCUAUGUAAAGCUCCUUCGACGAGUCGAGUAGUUUGGGAAUGCUGCUCAAAAUGGGAGGUAAAUUUCUUCUAAAGCUAAAUACCGGCCAGAGACCGAUAGCGCACAAGUAGAGUGAUCGAAAGAUGAAAAGCACUUUGAAAAGAGGGUUAAAUAGCACGUGAAAUUGUUGAAAGGGAAGCGCCUGUGACCAGACUUGGGCCCGGCGGAUCAUCUAGCGUUCUCGCUGGUGCACUCCGCCGGGUUCAGGCCAGCAUCGGUUUCCUCAGGGGGAUAAAAGCGUCGGGAAUGUAGCUCCCCCGGGAGUGUUAUAGCCCGUCGCAGAAUACCCUUUAGGGGACCGAGGACCGCGCUUCGGCAAGGAUGCUGGCGUAAUGGUCACUAGCGACCCGUCUUGAAACACGGACCAAGGAGUCAAGCAUUAGGGCGAGUGUUUGGGUGUAAAACCCGCACGCGUAAUGAAAGUGAACGUAGGUGAGAGCUUCGGCGCAUCAUCGACCGAUCCUGAAGUAUUCGGAUGGAUUUGAGUAAGAGCCUUAACGCUUGGACCCGAAAGAUGAUGAUCUAUGCCUGUAUAGGGUGAAGCCAGAGGAAACUCUGGUGGAGGCUCGCAGCGGUUCUGACGUGCAAAUCGAUCGUCAAAUAUGGGCAUGGGGGCGAAAGACUAAUCGAAUCAUCUAGUAGCUGGUUACCGCCGAAGUUUCCCUCAGGAUAGCAGUGUUGUUUUCAGUUUUAUGAGGUAAAGCGAAUGAUUAGGGACUCGGGGGCGCUCUUUAGCCUUCAUCCAUUCUCAAACUUUAAAUAUGUAAGAAGCCCUUGUUACUUAGUUGAACGUGGGCCUUCGAAUGUAUCAACACUAGUGGGCCAUUUUUGGUAAGCAGAACUGGCGAUGCGGGAUGAACCGAACGCGGGGUUAAGGUGCCAGAGUGGACGCUCAUCAGACACCA
RNAcentral lists this ribosomal RNA (1117 nucleotides) under Ceratostomella pyrenaica. RNAcentral describes it as "eukaryotic LSU rRNA". It matches the Rfam family "Eukaryotic large subunit ribosomal RNA", at positions 65 to 1214 of the family's 3401-position model. Lineage: Eukaryota; Fungi; Ascomycota; Sordariomycetes; Barbatosphaeriales; Barbatosphaeriaceae. The record is from RNAcentral.